AGCGGCGUACGGGUGCGGAACACGUGUGCAACCUGCCUUUAUCUGGGGGAUAGCCUUUCGAAAGGAAGAUUAAUACCCCAUAAUAUUUUGAAUGGCAUCAUUUAAAAUUGAAAACUCCGGUGGAUAGAGAUGGGCACGCGCAAGAUUAGAUAGUUGGUGAGGUAACGGCUCACCAAGUCUGCGAUCUUUAGGGGGCCUGAGAGGGUGAUCCCCCACACUGGUACUGAGACACGGACCAGACUCCUACGGGAGGCAGCAGUGAGGAAUAUUGGACAAUGGGUGAGAGCCUGAUCCAGCCAUCCCGCGUGAAGGACGACGGCCCUAUGGGUUGUAAACUUCUUUUGUAUAGGGAUAAACCUUUCCACGUGUGGGAAGCUGAAGGUACUAUACGAAUAAGCACCGGCUAACUCCGUGCCAGCAGCCGCGGUAAUACGGAGGGUGCAAGCGUUAUCCGGAUUUAUUGGGUUUAAAGGGUCCGUAGGCGGAUCUGUAAGUCAGUGGUGAAAUCUCACAGCUUAACUGUGAAACUGCCAUUGAUACUGCAGGUCUUGAGUGUUAUUGAAGUAGCUGGAAUAAGUAGU
RNAcentral lists this ribosomal RNA (581 nucleotides) under Chryseobacterium indologenes. RNAcentral describes it as "bacterial SSU rRNA". It matches the Rfam family "Bacterial small subunit ribosomal RNA", at positions 94 to 674 of the family's 1533-position model. Lineage: Bacteria; Pseudomonadati; Bacteroidota; Flavobacteriia; Flavobacteriales; Weeksellaceae. The record is from RNAcentral.